GCAGUAUAAUGUAACAUGGAGGCAGUAUAAUGUAAUGUGGAGGCAGUAUAAUGUAAUGUGGAGGCAGAAUAAUAUAAUGUGGAGGCAGUAUAAUGUAAUGUGGAGGCAGUAUAAUGUAACGUGGAGGCAGUAUAAUGUAAUGUAGAGGCAGUAUAAUGUAAUGUGGAGGCAGUAUAAUGUAAUGUAGAGGCAGUAUAAUGUAAUGUGGAGGUAGUAUAAUGUCAUGUAGAGGCAGUAUAAUGUAAUGUGGAGGCAGUAUAAUGUAACGUGGAGGCAGUAUAAUGUAAUGUGGAGGCAGUAUAAUGUAAUGUGGAGGCAGUAUAAUGUAAUGUAGAGGCAGUAUAAUGUAAUGUGGAGUCAGUAUAAUGUAAUGUGGAGGCAGUAUAAUGUAAUGUGGAGGCAGUAUAAUGUGAUGUGGAGGCCGUAUAAUGUAAUGUGGAGGCAGUAUAAUUAUAAUGUAGCAUGGAGGCAGUAUAAUGUAAUGUGGAGGCAGUAUAAUGUAACGUAAUGUGGAGGCAGUAUAAUGUAAUGUGGAGGCAGUAUAAUGUAAUGUGGAGGCAGUAUAAUGUAACGUAAGCUGGAGGCAGUAUAAUGUAAUUUGGAGGCAGUAUGAUGUAACGUAUGCUGGAGGCAGUAUAAUGUAAUGUGGAGGCAGUUUAAUG
Oncorhynchus tshawytscha (Chinook salmon) is the source of this 662-nucleotide long non-coding RNA. NCBI's taxonomy places the organism in Eukaryota, Metazoa, Chordata, Actinopteri, Salmoniformes, Salmonidae. The record is from Ensembl.